UUGCAAUAUCUUAUUUUAUUCUGAAUAUGAGGAUCAAAAUUAUUAUGCAUAAUUAUAGAAUUGGUUUUAACAAGGAUAGACUCAUAAAAAGACUGAUUUUUAGAGAAAUUGUCUGGAAUAUAAAAAUGAGUUUUUGGGAAAAUGGAGUUGCAAAUCUGGUAGGCAUUAAGGUUUGGAUUUUGUAUCCAAUAUUCUGGUUCUAUGGUAAGAAUAAUGUCUUCAAUAUCUUUGUAACUAUAUUCUGAUUGCUCUAUUGGUGAGGAUUUUAGUGGUGAUGGAUUUGGGCUUGAGCUUUGUCCUAUGACAGCUUGUUUAAAGGUAGAGGGAGUGAUUAACUCUUGAGGUUGUAAAGGGGUAAAUUUAUUUAGUAAAGUAAAUUGUGGGCUUGGUGACUUGGGCUGAGGAGAA
This 408-nucleotide long non-coding RNA is filed under the name Manihot esculenta (cassava). RNAcentral's name for it is "long non-coding RNA (MESC_LNC005101)". The record is from RNAcentral. Lineage: Eukaryota; Viridiplantae; Streptophyta; Magnoliopsida; Malpighiales; Euphorbiaceae.